AACAUAUUCAUUGUAUCAAAUGGUAGCCUACGGUGGCAUACACAUUAAUAGGCUACUUGAUGGCCAACAAAUGCAAAUGUAUAAUUCUCCACAUGUCAGUUUCAUUGCGGACAUUUCCCCAUAACAUAAGCACGCUAGGGUGUUCCAUAACUUUCAUUUCAAAUUUCCACUCGCGCAGCCCCGGAGAACCAAUAACUGAGCAUGCGUAAAACACUUCGCUUGAUAACGUCCAUAAGCAAAGUCGACAUUAGAAUGGAGUUCAAACUACCGCUGGACAAAUUAUAUAAUGCGCUCUAGUGUACCCAAAGUCAAUUUCCAGUGCGUUGUCACCGUUAUUUCUUGACGCGCAUCAGUUCUAGCAUGUUGGGAAACGGAUUAGAAAACAGCAUGUGUCACCAUAACGUCGAGUUAAAUAGCCAACCGACAAAUCGUAAAAAGUUGUCAUAAUGUGCGCGCGUGCUGCUCCAUCUUGUACUUUCCUUCCCCACCACUCACUCACCAAACAGCCUGGUCACUGCCCGAUAGUCACCAGCAGCAGGUCACAGUGAUAUAUUUCUUAAAAAGAGAAAUGCCAUGGCGGCCGCGGUGCAGCAAGUAGCCCAACAACCCACCCACAGCAUCGUGUUCAAAGUAGCCCAAUACCCGGUAAAACUGCGGACAUGGAAACCCUGACACCCACACCCAGGUUCCUCUGGAGGCGUUUCGAAAGCCCGGCCCCACCAGGAUCCCUAAACCCAAAGGCUACGGCAUGCCCAGAGGGACAAACAGCACUAUUAACACUGGACAGAGCAAAGGACAGCUGCCGGCCACCGUGCACUCUGGGAGAAACACUGUGAAUGGUCAGACUGCGUCCAACAGGAGAGAUGGUCCAACCACAUUCGUUCAGAACAUUGCAGAAAUGUAAUAACUAGAGCUGUGACACAAUUCCAUAUUUUACUGACUGAGUAAAUAACAAAUUGCAGGUGCUAUAAUAUUGAGACCAACUGCUUGCACUAGUGCUGUGUAAAUCAAUAAAGAAUUGAUUUAUCUGCCAUUUUGUGCAAUCGUUUGUCUAUCUCUCAAUUUUUUGGUCUAUUGA
RNAcentral lists this long non-coding RNA (1078 nucleotides) under Oncorhynchus kisutch (coho salmon). RNAcentral's name for it is "lncRNA (ENSOKIG00005028552.1)". Lineage: Eukaryota; Metazoa; Chordata; Actinopteri; Salmoniformes; Salmonidae. The record is from RNAcentral.